UCCCGAGGAGGCGGCGGGGACCGCAGGCAAAUGAGAAAGCAAAUCUCUUGAAAUAUAAGCAGUGGUACUUUCCUGGAGGGAGGAGAUGGGAAUUCUCCUGUUGCUCUGAGUGUUGCCAGGUGCAAGAAGUGGUCCACAGUGGUGGUGGAGGCUGAGAAGAAGGAACAACACUGUCAGAAGGUGCUGGCUACCUUGGGAACAGGACCCACCUCUGGACAGUUAUUCUGAGUGACGGCCCUUGCA
This 243-nucleotide long non-coding RNA is filed under the name Phasianus colchicus (ring-necked pheasant). RNAcentral's name for it is "lncRNA (ENSPCLG00000007092.1)". Lineage: Eukaryota; Metazoa; Chordata; Aves; Galliformes; Phasianidae. The record is from RNAcentral.